UAUUGGACAAUGGGGGAAACCCUGAUCCAGCGACGCCGCGUGAGUGAAGAAGUAUUUCGGUAUGUAAAGCUCUAUCAGCAGGGAAGAAAGAAAUGACGGUACCUGAGUAAGAAGCCCCGGCUAACUACGUGCCAGCAGCCGCGGUAAUACGUAGGGGGCAAGCGUUAUCCGGAAUUACUGGGUGUAAAGGGAGCGUAGACGGUUAUGUAAGUCUGGAGUGAAAGCCCGGGGCCCAACCCCGGGACUGCUUUGGGAAACUGUGUAACUGGAGUACAGGAGGGGCAGGCGGAAUUCCUGGUGUAGCGGUGAAAUGCGUAGAUAUCAGGAGGAACACCGGCGGCGAAGGCGGCCUGCUGGACUGAAACUGACGUUGAGGCUCGAAAGCGUGGGGAGCAAACAGG
This 401-nucleotide ribosomal RNA is filed under the name uncultured bacterium. Its description in RNAcentral is "bacterial SSU rRNA". It matches the Rfam family "Bacterial small subunit ribosomal RNA", at positions 362 to 776 of the family's 1533-position model. The record is from RNAcentral.